AGAGUCCCGUCUUGGACCGCGGUAGGGCCUGUGUAAAACUCCUUCGAAGAGUCGACUUGUUUGGGAAUGCAGGUCAAAAUGGGUGGUAAAUUUCAUCUAAAGCUAAAUAUUGGCCAGAGACCGAUAGCGCACAAGUAGAGUGAUCGAAAGAUGAAAAGCACUUUGAAAAGAGAGUUAAACAGUAUGUGAAAUUGUUGAAAGGGAAGCGCUGGCAACCAGACUCGUGCGCGGGGUUCCCCCUUGCUUCUGCUUGGGUCACUUCCCCGUGUCCGGGCCAUCAUCAGUUUCGGGGGCCGGUUAAAGGCCCUGGGAAUGUACCCACGCCUUCGGGGGUGGACUUAUAGCCCAGGGUGUCAUGCGGCCACCCGGGACUGAGGAACGCGCUUCGGCGAGGAUGAUGGCGUAAUGGUUGUCAGCGGCCCGUCUUGAAACACGGACCAAGGAGUCUAACAUCUAUGCGAGUGUUCGGGUGU
RNAcentral lists this ribosomal RNA (473 nucleotides) under Knufia petricola. RNAcentral describes it as "partial large subunit ribosomal RNA". It matches the Rfam family "Eukaryotic large subunit ribosomal RNA", at positions 215 to 701 of the family's 3401-position model. Lineage: Eukaryota; Fungi; Ascomycota; Eurotiomycetes; Chaetothyriales; Trichomeriaceae. The record is from RNAcentral.